RNAcentral lists this ribosomal RNA (501 nucleotides) under Botryosphaeria sp. Y27. RNAcentral's name for it is "eukaryotic LSU rRNA". The stretch from base 144 to 297 matches the Rfam family "5.8S ribosomal RNA". The record is from RNAcentral. Lineage: Eukaryota; Fungi; Ascomycota; Dothideomycetes; Botryosphaeriales; Botryosphaeriaceae.
UUUGUGUACCUACCUCUGUUGCUUUGGCGGGCCGCGGUCCUCCGCGGCCGCCCCCCUCCCCGGGGGGGUGGCCAGCGCCCGCCAGAGGACCAUCAAACUCCAGUCAGUAAACGAUGCAGUCUGAAAAACAUUUAAUAAACUAAAACUUUCAACAACGGAUCUCUUGGUUCUGGCAUCGAUGAAGAACGCAGCGAAAUGCGAUAAGUAAUGUGAAUUGCAGAAUUCAGUGAAUCAUCGAAUCUUUGAACGCACAUUGCGCCCUUUGGUAUUCCGAAGGGCAUGCCUGUUCGAGCGUCAUUACAACCCUCAAGCUCUGCUUGGUAUUGGGCACCGUCCUUUGCGGGCGCGCCUCAAAGACCUCGGCGGUGGCGUCUUGCCUCAAGCGUAGUAGAACAUACAUCUCGCUUCGGAGCGCAGGGCGUCGCCCGCCGGACGAACCUUCUGAACUUUUCUCAAGGUUGACCUCGGAUCAGGUAGGGAUACCCGCUGAACUUAAGCAUA